UGACAGAAGAGAGUAAGCACGAGUAUGGGGUCCAUCUCAAGAGGGUCAUGAAAGGUGACAUGGUCCUCAGACCACAGCUACAUCACAGUAAAACAUAUCU
This 100-nucleotide microRNA precursor is filed under the name Sorex araneus (European shrew). RNAcentral's name for it is "miRNA (ENSSARG00000015730.1)". The record is from RNAcentral. Lineage: Eukaryota; Metazoa; Chordata; Mammalia; Eulipotyphla; Soricidae.